This 572-nucleotide long non-coding RNA is filed under the name Homo sapiens (human). RNAcentral's name for it is "non-protein coding lnc-C19orf18-2:1". Lineage: Eukaryota; Metazoa; Chordata; Mammalia; Primates; Hominidae. The record is from RNAcentral.
GAGGUGAGGCCUUUGCUCAGGCUGUGGGGCCGCCGUAGCUGCGGGGCUUGGGGGGUCAGGAGAGCCGGCUGGGAGAGGCGGCGUCAGGGUGGGUCCUGCGCCUGCCCUUUCCGCGCCGGCUUUGCGCCGUCGUUGCCGUCGGUUCUCCAGCCAGCAGCCUGCCUCCGGCCUCCCGCCUCCGGGCGUUCUUCGUUUUCUGGUCGGACGGGCCUGGGUGAACUCUGCUGCACGUCGGCUCCGCGGGCCUUUGUCCCCGAGGCCGCGCCGGGAGCUCCCAAGCGCACUCCUGGGCCGGACCUCGGCGCGGGACAAAAGCCAAACGCCCCAGGCGGGCAGACCCCGAUCCUGCUGCGCCGCCUUCAAGGGGGACCGCCGGCCGCGAGCCAGGUUGGGAUUUGCUGUGUUCCUGGGCAGGUGCCUGGUCAAUCAGUCCUCGGGAUGGCAGCCAUCAACCCGUGGGCCUCCUGGGGUGCCCUUACGGACCAAUCUUGGGGGAUGACAGCUGUUGACCCAUGGGCCUCCUGGGGAACCAGUGACCUUCAAGGACGUGGCCGUGGACUUCACCCAAGAAG